GGCGGUGUAGCUCAGUUGGCAGAGCAAACGGCUCAUAAUCGUUGUGUCGGCGGUUCAAGUCCGCCCACCGCUAC
RNAcentral lists this transfer RNA (74 nucleotides) under Paractinoplanes toevensis. RNAcentral's name for it is "Actinoplanes toevensis tRNA-Met". It matches the Rfam family "tRNA". Rfam says of the family: Transfer RNA (tRNA) molecules are approximately 80 nucleotides in length. Their secondary structure includes four short double-helical elements and three loops (D, anti-codon, and T loops). Further hydrogen bonds mediate the characteristic L-shaped molecular structure. tRNAs have two regions of fundamental functional importance: the anti-codon, which is responsible for specific mRNA codon recognition, and the 3' end, to which the tRNAs corresponding amino acid is attached (by aminoacyl-tRNA synthetases). tRNAs cope with the degeneracy of the genetic code in two manners: having more than one tRNA (with a specific anti-codon) for a particular amino acid; and 'wobble' base-pairing, i.e. permitting non-standard base-pairing at the 3rd anti-codon position. RNAcentral also lists the same sequence under 1 other name. Lineage: Bacteria; Bacillati; Actinomycetota; Actinomycetes; Micromonosporales; Micromonosporaceae. The record is from RNAcentral.